Molecule: ribosomal RNA, 498 nt
Filed under: uncultured bacterium
Lineage: Bacteria
Description: partial 16S ribosomal RNA
Rfam family: Bacterial small subunit ribosomal RNA
Source: RNAcentral
AUUGAACGCUGGCGGCAUGCCUUACACAUGCAAGUCGAACGGUAACGCGGGGCAACCUGGCGACGAGUGGCGAACGGGUGAGUAAAGCAUCGGAACGUGCCCAGUAGUGGGGGAUAGCCCGGCGAAAGCCGGAUUAAUACCGCAUACGACCUAUGGGUGAAAGGGGAGGAUCGCAAGACCUCUCGCUAUUGGAGCGGCCGAUGUCAGAUUAGGUAGUUGGUGGGGUAAAGGCCUACCAAGCCGACGAUCUGUAGCUGGUCUGAGAGGACGACCAGCCACACUGGGACUGAGACAAGGCCCAGACUCCUACGGGAGGCAGCAGUGGGGAAUUUUGGACAAGGGGCGCAAGCCUGAACCAGCCAUGCCGCGUGCGGGAAGAAGGCCUUCGGGUUGUCAACCGCUUUUGUCAGGGAAGAAAUCCUUUGGGUUAAUACCUCGGGGGGAUGACGGUACCUGAAGAAUAAGCACCGGCUAACUACGUGCCAGCCGCCGCGGUAA